GGCUUAGUGGUUAGUGGUUAGCACGGUCACCUCACAGCUCCAAGAUCGGGGGUUCGAUUCCCACCAUGGCCC
Molecule: non-coding RNA, 72 nt
Organism: Ameiurus melas (black bullhead)
Lineage: Eukaryota; Metazoa; Chordata; Actinopteri; Siluriformes; Ictaluridae
Source: the annotation of a GenBank genome assembly